This 497-nucleotide ribosomal RNA is filed under the name uncultured bacterium. Its description in RNAcentral is "partial 16S ribosomal RNA". It matches the Rfam family "Bacterial small subunit ribosomal RNA", at positions 28 to 507 of the family's 1533-position model. The record is from RNAcentral.
GAUGAACGCUGGCGGCGUGCCUAAUACAUGCAAGUCGAGCGAACAGACGAGGAGCUUGCUCCUCUGACGUUAGCGGCGGACGGGUGAGUAACACGUGGAUAACCUACCUAUAAGACUGGGAUAACUUCGGGAAACCGGAGCUAAUACCGGAUAAUAUAUUGAACCGCAUGGUUCAAUAGAGAAAGACGGUUUUGCUGUCACUUAUAGAUGGAUCCGCGCCGCAUUAGCUAGUUGGUAAGGUAACGGCUUACCAAGGCAACGAUGCGUAGCCGACCUGAGAGGGUGAUCGGCCACACUGGAACUGAGACACGGUCCAGACUCUUACGGGAGGCAGCAGUAGGGAAUCUUCCGCAAAGGGCGAAAGCCUGACGGAGCAACGCCGCGUGAGUGAUGAAGGUCUUCGGAUCGUAAAACUCUGUUAUUAGGGAAGAACAAAUGUGUAAGUAACUAUGCACGUCUUGACGGUACCUAAUCAGAAAGCCACGGCUAACUACGUG